UCUGGCUCAGGAUGAACGCUAGCGGAACGCCUAACACAUGCAAGUCGAACGGAUCUGCGUGUAGCAAUACAUAGUAGAAUUAGUGGCAAACGAGCGAGUAACGCGUGCCUAACCGGCCCUUAAGAUGGGAACAACUACGGAGACGUAGCUAAAUCCCAAUAUGCUCACGAUGGUGAAAUGCCGAUGCGAGGAAAGAUUUAUCGCUUAAGGAGGGGGCGCGUCCUAUCAGGUAGUUGGUUGAGGUAACGGCUCACCAAGCCUAUGACAGGUAGCUGGUCUGAGAUGAUGUCCAGCCGCGAUGGGACUGAGAUACGGCCCAUACUCCUACGGGAGGCAGCAGUGGGGAAUCUUGCACAAUGGACGAAAGUCUGAUGCAGCGAUCCCGCGUGAAGGAUGAAGCAUUACGGUGUGUAAACUUCUUUUUGGUGGAAGACGAAUGACGGUACACCAAGAAUAAGAGACGGCUAACUACGUGCCAGCCGCUGC
RNAcentral lists this ribosomal RNA (486 nucleotides) under uncultured bacterium. Its description in RNAcentral is "bacterial SSU rRNA". It matches the Rfam family "Bacterial small subunit ribosomal RNA", at positions 18 to 518 of the family's 1533-position model. The record is from RNAcentral.